GUGCUUGAUUCAGCAGCACAUCUACUAAAAUUGGAAUGAUAUAGAGAAGAUUACCAUGGCCCCUGUGCAAGGAUGACACAAAAAUUUGUGAAGUGUUCCGUAUUUUU
Onychomys torridus (southern grasshopper mouse) is the source of this 107-nucleotide small nuclear RNA. NCBI's taxonomy places the organism in Eukaryota, Metazoa, Chordata, Mammalia, Rodentia, Cricetidae. The record is from RefSeq and is a predicted model, not a curated record.